RNAcentral lists this ribosomal RNA (625 nucleotides) under bacterium IMCC8858. Its description in RNAcentral is "bacterial SSU rRNA". It matches the Rfam family "Bacterial small subunit ribosomal RNA", at positions 28 to 696 of the family's 1533-position model. The record is from RNAcentral.
AACGAACGCUGGCGGCACGCCUAACACAUGCAAAGUCGAGCGCAGUCCUUCGGGACCGAGCGGCGGACGGGUUAGUAACGCGUGGGAACAUACCCUUCUCUACGGAAUAGCCUCGGGAAACUGAGAGUAAUACCGUAUAAGCCCUUCGGGGGAAAGAUUUAUCGGUGAAGGAUUGGCCCGCGUAAGAUUAGAUAGUUGGUGGGGUAAUGGCCUACCAAGUCUACGAUCUUUAGCUGGUUUGAGAGGAUGAUCAGCAACACUGGGACUGAGACACGGCCCAGACUCCUACGGGAGGCAGCAGUGGGGAAUCUUAGACAAUGGGGGAAACCCUGAUCUAGCGAUGCCGCGUGUGUGACGAAGGCNUUAGGGUCGUAAAGCACUUUCGCCAAGGAUGAUAAUGACAGUACUUGGUAAAGAAACCCCGGCUAACUCCGUGCCAGCAGCCGCGGUAAUACGGAGGGGGUUAGCGUUGUUCGGAAUUACUGGGCGUAAAGCGCACGUAGGCGGACUUUUAAGUUAGAGGUGAAAUCCCAGGGCUCAACCCUGGAACUGCCUUUAAUACUGGAAGUCUUGAGUUCGAGAGAGGUAAGUGGAAUUCCAAGUGUAGAGGUGAAAUUCGUAGAUA